Molecule: ribosomal RNA, 458 nt
Filed under: uncultured bacterium
Lineage: Bacteria
Description: bacterial SSU rRNA
Rfam family: Bacterial small subunit ribosomal RNA
Source: RNAcentral
CUACGGGAGGCAGCAGUAAGGAAUAUUGGUCAAUGGACGCAAGUCUGAACCAGCCAUGCCGCGUGAAGGAUGAAGGUCCUCUGGAUUGUAAACUUCUUUUAUAUGGGACGAAACCCGGGUAUUCCUACCCGAUUGACGGUACCAUAGGAAUAAGCACCGGCUAACUCCGUGCCAGCAGCCGCGGUAAUACGGAGGGUGCAAGCGUUAUCCGGAUUCACUGGGUUUAAAGGGUGCGUAGGAGGGUAGGUAAGUCAGUGGUGAAAUCUCCGGGCUCAACUCGGAAACUGCCGUUGAUACUAUCUGUCUUGAAUACCGUGGAGGUGAGCGGAAUAUGUCAUGUAGCGGUGAAAUGCUUAGAUAUGACAUAGAACACCGAUUGCGAAGGCAGCUCACUACACGAAUAUUGACUCUGAGGCACGAAAGCGUGGGGAUCAAACAGGAUUAGAUACCCCGGUAGU